RNAcentral lists this ribosomal RNA (253 nucleotides) under uncultured bacterium. Its description in RNAcentral is "partial 16S ribosomal RNA". It matches the Rfam family "Bacterial small subunit ribosomal RNA", at positions 524 to 776 of the family's 1533-position model. The record is from RNAcentral. RNAcentral also lists the same sequence under 1 other name.
GACGAACCGUGCAAACGUUGUUCGGAAUCACUGGGCUUAAAGGGCGCGUAGGCGGCCACGCCAGUCUGGGGUGAAAUCUUUCGGCUCAACCGGAAAAUUGCCUGGGAUACUGCGUGGCUCGAGGGAGGUAGGGGCGGUCGGAACUUCCAGUGGAGCGGUGAAAUGCGUUGAUAUUGGAAGGAACGCCGGUGGCGAAAGCGGACCGCUGGAUCUCAUCUGACGCUGAGGCGUGAAAGCUAGGGUAGCGAACGGG